UUACCCAAGCUAAUCAGAAGAGGUGGAGAACCUAUUCAGAUUAUGAUUACAAAUGCAAUACGGUCUUUCUCUAAUACAAUACUCUUGACCACAUUGUUUGGUUUGAUAGUUUAUUCAUGUUUACUAUCCAAUGUGAUUCGUGUGCUUAUAUGAUUACCUUGAAUGUGAUUUGGAACGACUUCCUAAAUCUCAUUCAUACUCUGGCCAGAGAUUCUUAAUCAUAUCAUAGAGAUCCCUUGUUGCGCAUUCACUUGCCUCCAUGGAUAAGUGGCUUAACCCCGACGAUGCCGUGGACACCCGCCUGAUGGAGUGACUUUGACAUAAUCAAAGAUCAAGGACUUAACCACAAGACAACUAUGAUGCCUCAGGUCAAAGGACUACUUUGCAUUCCCAACCAUGAGUUCUCAUGUGACAUGAGUAUGAGAACUCCUCGUUGAUCGUGUUCAGUGGACUCAUUCAUUAUUGAGCACCUACAUGCUUGUCUUGAUGUCACACACACCAAUGACUCGAGACUAGUCACUCUCCCUAAGAGAAGACACAACACGUACUGAUCUUAACGGACUGUCAAUGCCUAAUUGGCAAUCCUAUGAUCAGGAACGUUUAGGAUGUGUCUACGAAAGAAUGGUCUCAUGAAUCUAACUUCUUUAGAUCGCAUUCUCCCAAUCACAUAUUCCUUGGACUUAUCGUUUAGGCGUAUAACAUUUAUAUGAGACGGCUCAAACAAUAAUCUUUGCCCUUGAUAUUAAACUAGAUUAGUUUAACAUGUGAAAUGUCCGUAAAGUAUCAUCAUAUGAUUGGUUUUAGGGCACAUUUCCAACAUAAGGUCCUCAUUCUCCAAUGGAAGCCACGGCAAGACUUCUUCUUCUCCAAAGGCUGCGGCAAAACUUGUAGAAUGAUGUGGGUUAUGC
This 908-nucleotide long non-coding RNA is filed under the name Malus domestica (apple). Its description in RNAcentral is "long non-coding RNA (MDOM_LNC019808)". Lineage: Eukaryota; Viridiplantae; Streptophyta; Magnoliopsida; Rosales; Rosaceae. The record is from RNAcentral.